Molecule: ribosomal RNA, 466 nt
Filed under: uncultured bacterium
Lineage: Bacteria
Description: partial 16S ribosomal RNA
Rfam family: Bacterial small subunit ribosomal RNA
Source: RNAcentral
GACGAACGCUGGCGGCGUGCUUAACACAUGCAAGUCGAACGGAAAGGCCCUGCUUGCAGGGUACUCGAGUGGCGAACGGGUGAGUAACACGUGGGAGUUCUGUGCUGCACUUCGGGAUAAGCCUGGGAAACUGGGUCUAAUACCGGAUAGGAGCCAUCCUGAGUGUGGUGGUGGGUAGGUUAUUUGGGUGGAGGGUGAGCUCGCGGCCGAUCAGCUUGUUGGUGGGGUAAUGGCCUACCAAGGCGGCGAUGGGUAGGCGGCCUGUGAGGGUGUGCGGCCACAUAGUGACUGAGAUACAGCGCAGAGUCCUACGCGGGGGAGCAGUGUGGAGUAUAGCGCAAUAGGCGCGGACCUGAUGCGGCGAAGCCGCGUGGGGGAUGUAGGCCUUCGGGUUGUGUACUCCGUUCGCUAGUGACGAGGCGUUUUUGUGACGGUACCUAGAAAAGAAGCACCGGCUAACUACGUG